This 472-nucleotide ribosomal RNA is filed under the name Halobacillus trueperi. Its description in RNAcentral is "bacterial SSU rRNA". It matches the Rfam family "Bacterial small subunit ribosomal RNA", at positions 114 to 570 of the family's 1533-position model. The record is from RNAcentral. Lineage: Bacteria; Bacillati; Bacillota; Bacilli; Caryophanales; Bacillaceae.
CACGUGGGCAACCUGCCUGUAAGAUCGGAAUAACCCCGGGAAACCGGGGCUAAUGCCGGGUAAUACUUUCUUUCGCAUGAAGGAAAGUUGAAAGAUGGCUUCUCGCUAUCACUUACAGAUGGGCCCGCGGCGCAUUAGCUAGUUGGUGAGGUAACGGCUCACCAAGGCGACGAUGCGUAGCCGACCUGAGAGGGUGAUCGGCCACACUGGGACUGAGACACGGCCCAGACUCCUACGGGAGGCAGCAGUAGGGAAUCUUCCGCAAUGGACGAAAGUCUGACGGAGCAACGCCGCGUGAACGAUGAAGGUCUUCGGAUCGUAAAGUUCUGUUGUUAGGGAAGAACAAGUACCGUGCGAAUAGAGCGGUACCUUGACGGUACCUAACGAGGAAGCCCCGGCUAACUACGUGCCAGCAGCCGCGGUAAUACGUAGGGGGCAAGCGUUGUCCGGAAUUAUUGGGCGUAAAGCGCGC